Molecule: small RNA, 375 nt
Filed under: uncultured Eisenbergiella sp.
Lineage: Bacteria; Bacillati; Bacillota; Clostridia; Lachnospirales; Lachnospiraceae
Description: cspA thermoregulator
Source: RNAcentral
UAAAAGAAGGGUACUAUGGUGCUGUAUUCCAAACGAUUCAAUGAUUUCACAUAUUUUUGUAAAUCCUUGGCACGUUCGAAGAUUUACAAAAAUAUGUGAUUUUUUUGUAUUUCGCCCCGAAUAUGUAAAAAUUUUUAAAUGAGGAGGUACCACUAAUGAGCAACGGUACAGUAAAAUGGUUUAACGCAGAAAAAGGCUAUGGUUUCAUCACCAACGCAGACAACGGAGAAGAUGUAUUCGUACAUUAUUCUUCUAUCCAGACUGAUGGAUUCAAGACAUUACAGGAAGGUCAGGCUGUAACUUUUGAUACAGAAGCUGAUCCCAGAGACAGCAAGAAGGUUCGCGCUGUCAAUGUUAUUCCCCAGUAAUCAGAGA